Long non-coding RNA from Eurytemora carolleeae, 165 nucleotides. RefSeq lists it as uncharacterized. Lineage: Eukaryota; Metazoa; Arthropoda; Copepoda; Calanoida; Temoridae. The record is from RefSeq and is a predicted model, not a curated record. The transcript has 3 exons.
ACCCUAUUCUCCUCUCUACAGAUCCAGACCUUGCUGAAAAAGAUGAGGCUGAAACUGCUACAGCUCAAGUUCUGAAAAAGAAAUAUCUAAAAGAUCAGGGUUUCCAUCAGGGAACAGUUGCUGAACGAAUUAACAUGCUCACUGACGUUCACUUCCUUGCAUCAA